This 447-nucleotide ribosomal RNA is filed under the name uncultured bacterium. Its description in RNAcentral is "partial 16S ribosomal RNA". It matches the Rfam family "Bacterial small subunit ribosomal RNA", at positions 29 to 523 of the family's 1533-position model. The record is from RNAcentral.
AACGAACGCUGGCGGCAGGCUUAACACAUGCAAGUCGAGCGCCCCGCAAGGGGAGCGGCAGACGGGUGAGUAACGCGUGGGAAUCUACCCAUCCCUACGGAAUAGCUCCUGGAAACUGGAAUUAAUACCGUAUACGCCCUACGGGGGAAAGAUUUAUCGGGGAUGGAUGAGCCCGCGUUGGAUUAGCUAGUUGGUGGGGUAAAGGCCUACCAAGGCGACGAUCCAUAGCUGGUCUGAGAGGAUGAUCAGCCACAUUGGGACUGAGACACGGCCCAAACUCCUACGGGAGGCAGCAGUGGGGAAUAUUGGACAAUGGGGGCAUCCCUGAUCCAGCAAUGCCGCGUGAGUGAUGAAGGCCUUCGGGUUGUAAAGCUCUUUUAUCAGGGAAGAUAAUGACGGUACCUGAUGAAUAAGCUCCGGCUAACUUCGUGCCAGCAGCCGCAGUAA